CCCGCUGAACUUAAGCAUAUCAAUAAGCGGAGGAAAAGAAACUAACAAGGAUUCCCCUAGUAACUGCGAGUGAAGCGGGAAGAGCUCAAAUUUAAAAUCUGGCAGUUCCCUGAGCUGUCCGAGUUGUAAUCUAGAGAAGUGCUUUCCGUGCUGGACCGUGUACAAGUCUCUUGGAAUGGAGCGUCAUAGAGGGUGAGAAUCCCGUCUUUGACAUGGACUACCAGCGCUUCUGUGAUGCACUCUCGAAGAGUCGAGUUGUUUGGGAAUGCAGCUCAAAAUGGGUGGUAAAUUCCAUCUAAAGCUAAAUAUGGGCGAGAGACCGAUAGCGAACAAGUACCGUGAGGGAAAGAUGAAAAGAACUUUGAAAAGAGAGUUAAACAGUACGUGAAAUUGUUGAAAGGGAAACGUUUCAAGUCAGUCGCGUUGGCUGGUAAUCAACCUUUGCAAUCUUGCUGGGCUUACUUUCCAGUCGACGGGUCAGCAUCAAUUUUGACUGUCAGAUAAAGGCGUGGGGAAUGUGGCAUCCUCGGAUGUGUUAUAGCCCCUUGUCAGAUGUGAUGGUUGGGAUUGAGGAACUCAGCAUGCCUUUACUGGUCGGGGCCUACGCCCACGUAACAUGCUCAGGAUGCUGGCAUAAUGGCUUGAACCGACCCGUCUUGAAACACGG
This 667-nucleotide ribosomal RNA is filed under the name uncultured fungus. Its description in RNAcentral is "eukaryotic LSU rRNA". It matches the Rfam family "Eukaryotic large subunit ribosomal RNA", at positions 24 to 664 of the family's 3401-position model. Lineage: Eukaryota; Fungi. The record is from RNAcentral.